GUUAGUAUAGCUCAGUGGUAGAGCGUUCGACUAGAGAUCGAAAGGUCCCCGGUUCGAAUCCGUGUGUUUUCUAAUU
Molecule: transfer RNA, 76 nt
Filed under: Diabrotica virgifera virgifera (western corn rootworm)
Lineage: Eukaryota; Metazoa; Arthropoda; Insecta; Coleoptera; Chrysomelidae
Description: transfer RNA serine (anticodon AGA)
Rfam family: tRNA
About the family: Transfer RNA (tRNA) molecules are approximately 80 nucleotides in length. Their secondary structure includes four short double-helical elements and three loops (D, anti-codon, and T loops).
Source: RNAcentral